This is a long non-coding RNA of Lates calcarifer (barramundi perch), 7654 nucleotides long. RefSeq lists it as uncharacterized. The transcript has 3 exons. Lineage: Eukaryota; Metazoa; Chordata; Actinopteri; Centropomidae. The record is from RefSeq and is a predicted model, not a curated record.
CGUCAAAAAAUGUCAUAGUAUACUAAGGCGUCAAAAAAUGUCAUGGUAUAGCAAGGCGUCAAAAACCAUCAAAAAUGUCAUAGUAUACUAAGGCGUCAGAAAUUAUCAAAAACUGUCAUAGUAUUGUAAUGUGUCAAAAACCAUCAAAAAUAUAGUAUAGCAAGGCAUCAAAAAGAUCAGAUCAGAUAUGUCAUAGUAUACUAAGGCAUCAAAAAUGGUCAAAAAAUGUCACAGUAAAGUAAGGUGUCAAAAACCAUCAAAAAUGUCACAGUAAAGUAAGGUGUCAGAAAUCAGCAAAAAAUGUCCCAGUAAAGUAAGGUGUCAAAAAUGGUCAAAAAAUGUCAUAGUAUAGUAAUGUGUCAAAACCCAUCAAAAAAUAUAGUACAGCAAGGCAUCAAAAAUGUCAUAGUAUACUAAGGAGUAAAAAAUGGUCAAAAAAUGUCACAGUAAAGUAAGGCGUCAGAAAUGAUCAAAAAUGUCAUAAUAUACUAAUGCGUCAAAAAUGGUCAAAAAAUGUCAUGGUAUAGCAAGGCAUCAAAAACCAUCAAAAAUGUCAUAGUAUACUAAGGUGUCAGAAAUGAUCAAAAACUGUCAUGGUGUAGUAAGGCAUGAAAAAUGGUCCAAAAAUGCUAUAGUAUAGAAAGGUGUCAAAAACCAUCAAAAAUGUCAUAGUAUACUAAGGCGUCAAAAAAUGUCAUAGUAUACUAAGGCGUCAAAAAAUGUCAUGGUAUAGCAAGGCGUCAAAAACCAUCAAAAAUGUCAUAGUAUACUAAGGCGUCAGAAAUUAUCAAAAACUGUCAUAGUAUUGUAAUGUGUCAAAAACCAUCAAAAAUAUAGUAUAGCAAGGCAUCAAAAAGAUCAGAUCAGAUAUGUCAUAGUAUACUAAGGCAUCAAAAAUGGUCAAAAAAUGUCACAGUAAAGUAAGGUGUCAAAAACCAUCAAAAAUGUCACAGUAAAGUAAGGUGUCAGAAAUCAGCAAAAAAUGUCCCAGUAAAGUAAGGUGUCAAAAAUGGUCAAAAAAUGUCAUAGUAUAGUAAUGUGUCAAAACCCAUCAAAAAAUAUAGUACAGCAAGGCAUCAAAAAUGUCAUAGUAUACUAAGGAGUAAAAAAUGGUCAAAAAAUGUCACAGUAAAGUAAGGCGUCAGAAAUGAUCAAAAAUGUCAUAAUAUACUAAUGCGUCAAAAAUGGUCAAAAAAUGUCAUGGUAUAGCAAGGCAUCAAAAACCAUCAAAAAUGUCAUAGUAUACUAAGGUGUCAGAAAUGAUCAAAAACUGUCAUGGUGUAGUAAGGCAUGAAAAAUGGUCCAAAAAUGCUAUAGUAUAGAAAGGUGUCAAAAACCAUCAAAAAUGUCAUAGUAUACUAAGGCGUCAAAAAAUGUCAUAGUAUACUAAGGCGUCAAAAAAUGUCAUGGUAUAGCAAGGCGUCAAAAACCAUCAAAAAUGUCAUAGUAUACUAAGGCGUCAGAAAUUAUCAAAAACUGUCAUAGUAUUGUAAUGUGUCAAAAACCAUCAAAAAUAUAGUAUAGCAAGGCAUCAAAAAGAUCAGAUCAGAUAUGUCAUAGUAUACUAAGGCAUCAAAAAUGGUCAAAAAAUGUCACAGUAAAGUAAGGUGUCAAAAACCAUCAAAAAUGUCACAGUAAAGUAAGGUGUCAGAAAUCAGCAAAAAAUGUCCCAGUAAAGUAAGGUGUCAAAAAUGGUCAAAAAAUGUCAUAGUAUAGUAAUGUGUCAAAACCCAUCAAAAAAUAUAGUACAGCAAGGCAUCAAAAAUGUCAUAGUAUACUAAGGAGUAAAAAAUGGUCAAAAAAUGUCACAGUAAAGUAAGGCGUCAGAAAUGAUCAAAAAUGUCAUAAUAUACUAAUGCGUCAAAAAUGGUCAAAAAAUGUCAUGGUAUAGCAAGGCAUCAAAAACCAUCAAAAAUGUCAUAGUAUACUAAGGUGUCAGAAAUGAUCAAAAACUGUCAUGGUGUAGUAAGGCAUGAAAAAUGGUCCAAAAAUGCUAUAGUAUAGAAAGGUGUCAAAAACCAUCAAAAAUGUUAUAGUAUACUAAGGCGUCAAAAAAUGUCAUAGUAUACUAAGGCGUCAAAAAAUGUCAUGGUAUAGCAAGGCGUCAAAAACCAUCAAAAAUGUCAUAGUAUACUAAGGCGUCAGAAAUUAUCAAAAACUGUCAUAGUAUUGUAAUGUGUCAAAAACCAUCAAAAAUAUAGUAUAGCAAGGCAUCAAAAAGAUCAGAUCAGAUAUGUCAUAGUAUACUAAGGCAUCAAAAAUGGUCAAAAAAUGUCACAGUAAAGUAAGGUGUCAAAAACCAUCAAAAAUGUCACAGUAAAGUAAGGUGUCAGAAAUCAGCAAAAAAUGUCCCAGUAAAGUAAGGUGUCAAAAAUGGUCAAAAAAUGUCAUAGUAUAGUAAUGUGUCAAAACCCAUCAAAAAAUAUAGUACAGCAAGGCAUCAAAAAUGUCAUAGUAUACUAAGGAGUAAAAAAUGGUCAAAAAAUGUCACAGUAAAGUAAGGCGUCAGAAAUGAUCAAAAAUGUCAUAAUAUACUAAUGCGUCAAAAAUGGUCAAAAAAUGUCAUGGUAUAGCAAGGCAUCAAAAACCAUCAAAAAUGUCAUAGUAUACUAAGGUGUCAGAAAUGAUCAAAAACUGUCAUGGUGUAGUAAGGCAUGAAAAAUGGUCCAAAAAUGCUAUAGUAUAGAAAGGUGUCAAAAACCAUCAAAAAUGUUAUAGUAUACUAAGGCGUCAAAAAAUGUCAUAGUAUACUAAGGCGUCAAAAAAUGUCAUGGUAUAGCAAGGCGUCAAAAACCAUCAAAAAUGUCAUAGUAUACUAAGGCGUCAGAAAUUAUCAAAAACUGUCAUAGUAUUGUAAUGUGUCAAAAACCAUCAAAAAUAUAGUAUAGCAAGGCAUCAAAAAGAUCAGAUCAGAUAUGUCAUAGUAUACUAAGGCAUCAAAAAUGGUCAAAAAAUGUCACAGUAAAGUAAGGUGUCAAAAACCAUCAAAAAUGUCACAGUAAAGUAAGGUGUCAGAAAUCAGCAAAAAAUGUCCCAGUAAAGUAAGGUGUCAAAAAUGGUCAAAAAAUGUCAUAGUAUAGUAAUGUGUCAAAACCCAUCAAAAAAUAUAGUACAGCAAGGCAUCAAAAAUGUCAUAGUAUACUAAGGAGUAAAAAAUGGUCAAAAAAUGUCACAGUAAAGUAAGGCGUCAGAAAUGAUCAAAAAUGUCAUAAUAUACUAAUGCGUCAAAAAUGGUCAAAAAAUGUCAUGGUAUAGCAAGGCAUCAAAAACCAUCAAAAAUGUCAUAGUAUACUAAGGUGUCAGAAAUGAUCAAAAACUGUCAUGGUGUAGUAAGGCAUGAAAAAUGGUCCAAAAAUGCUAUAGUAUAGAAAGGUGUCAAAAACCAUCAAAAAUGUCAUAGUAUACUAAGGCGUCAAAAAAUGUCAUAGUAUACUAAGGCGUCAAAAAAUGUCAUAGUAUACUAAGGCGUCAAAAAAUGUCAUGGUAUAGCAAGGCGUCAAAAACCAUCAAAAAUGUCAUAGUAUACUAAGGCGUCAGAAAUUAUCAAAAACUGUCAUAGUAUUGUAAUGUGUCAAAAACCAUCAAAAAUAUAGUAUAGCAAGGCAUCAAAAAGAUCAGAUCAGAUAUGUCAUAGUAUACUAAGGCAUCAAAAAUGGUCAAAAAAUGUCACAGUAAAGUAAGGUGUCAAAAACCAUCAAAAAUGUCACAGUAAAGUAAGGUGUCAGAAAUCAGCAAAAAAUGUCCCAGUAAAGUAAGGUGUCAAAAAUGGUCAAAAAAUGUCAUAGUAUAGUAAUGUGUCAAAACCCAUCAAAAAAUAUAGUACAGCAAGGCAUCAAAAAUGUCAUAGUAUACUAAGGAGUAAAAAAUGGUCAAAAAAUGUCACAGUAAAGUAAGGCGUCAGAAAUGAUCAAAAAUGUCAUAAUAUACUAAUGCGUCAAAAAUGGUCAAAAAAUGUCAUGGUAUAGCAAGGCAUCAAAAACCAUCAAAAAUGUCAUAGUAUACUAAGGUGUCAGCAAUCAUCAAGAAAUGUCACAGUAAGGUGUCAAAAAUGGUCAAAAAAUGUCAUGGUAUAGCAAGGCAUAAAAAAUGGUCAGAAAAUGUCAUAGUAAUGUGUCAGAAACCAUCAAAAAAUAUAGUAUAGCAAGGCAUCAAAAACUAUCAAAAAUGUCAUAGUAUAUAAGGCGUAAAAAAUUGUCAAAAAAUGUCACAGUAAAGUAAGGCGUCAGAAAUCAUAAAAAAAUGUCAGUAAAGUAAGGCGUCAGAAAUGAUCAAAAACUGUCAUAGUAUUGUAAGGUGUCAAAAAUGGUCAAAAAUUGUCAUGGUAUAGUAAGGCAUGAAAAAUGGUCCAAAAAUGUUAUAGUAUAGAAAGGUGUCAAAAACCAUCAAAAAUGUCAUAAUAUACUAAUGCGACAAAAAUGGUCAAAAAAUGUCAUGGUAUAGCAAGGCAUCAAAAACCAUCAAAAAUGUCAUAGUAUACUAAGGUGUCAGAAAUGAUCAAAAACUGUCAUGGUGUAGUAAGGCAUGAAAAAUGGUCCAAAAAUGUUAUAGUAUAGAAAGGUGUCAAAAACCAUCAAAAAUGUCAUAGUAUACUAAGGCGUCAAAAAAUGUCAUAGUAUACUAAGGCGUCAAAAACCAUCAAAAAUGUCAUAGUAUACUAAGGCGUCAGAAAUUAUCAAAAACUGUCAUAGUAUUGUAAGGUGUCAAAAACCAUCAAAAAUAUAGUAUAGCAAGGCAUCAAAAAGAUCAGAUCAGAUAUGUCAUAGUAUACUAAGGCAUCAAAAAUGGUCAAAAAAUGUCACAGUAAAGUAAGGUGUCAAAAACCAUCAAAAAUGUCACAGUAAAGUAAGGUGUCAGAAAUCAGCAAAAAAUGUCCCAGUAAAGUAAGGUGUCAAAAAUGGUCAAAAAAUGUCAUAGUAUAGUAAUGUGUCAAAACCCAUCAAAAAAUAUAGUACAGCAAGGCAUCAAAAAUGUCAUAGUAUACUAAGGAGUAAAAAAUGGUCAAAAAAUGUCACAGUAAAGUAAGGCGUCAGAAAUGAUCAAAAAUGUCAUAAUAUACUAAUGCGUCAAAAAUGGUCAAAAAAUGUCAUGGUAUAGCAAGGCAUCAAAAACCAUCAAAAAUGUCAUAGUAUACUAAGGUGUCAGCAAUCAUCAAGAAAUGUCACAGUAAGGUGUCAAAAAUGGUCAAAAAAUGUCAUGGUAUAGCAAGGCAUAAAAAAUGGUCAGAAAAUGUCAUAGUAAUGUGUCAGAAACCAUCAAAAAAUAUAGUAUAGCAAGGCUUCAAAAACUAUCAAAAAUGUCAUAGUAUAUAAGGCGUAAAAAUUGUCAAAAAAUGUCACAGUAAAGUAAGGCGUCAGAAAUCAUCAAAAAAUGUCAGUAAAGUAAGGCGUCAGAAAUCAUAAAAAAAUGUCACAGUAAAGUAAGGCGUCAGAAAUGAUCAAAAACUGUCAUAGUAUUGUAAGGUGUCAAAAAUGGUCAAAAAUUGUCAUGGUAUAGUAAGGCAUGAAAAAUGGUCCAAAAAUGUUAUAGUAUAGAAAGGUGUCAAAAACCAUCAAAAAUGUCAUAAUAUACUAAUGCGACAAAAAUGGUCAAAAAAUGUCAUGGUAUAGCAAGGCAUCAAAAACCAUCAAAAAUGUCAUAGUAUACUAAGGUGUCAGAAAUGAUCAAAAACUGUCAUGGUGUAGUAAGGCAUGAAAAAUGGUCCAAAAAUGUUAUAGUAUAGAAAGGUGUCAAAAACCAUCAAAAAUGUCAUAGUAUACUAAGGCGUCAAAAAAUGUCAUAGUAUACUAAGGCGUCAAAAACCAUCAAAAAUGUCAUAGUAUACUAAGGCGUCAGAAAUUAUCAAAAACUGUCAUAGUAUUGUAAGGUGUCAAAAACCAUCAAAAAUAUAGUAUAGCAAGGCAUCAAAAAGAUCAGAUCAGAUAUGUCAUAGUAUACUAAGGCAUCAAAAAUGGUCAAAAAAUGUCACAGUAAAGUAAGGUGUCAAAACCCAUCAAAAAAUAUAGUACAGCAAGGCAUCAAAAAUGUCAUAGUAUACUAAGGAGUAAAAAAUGGUCAAAAAAUGUCACAGUAAAGUAAGGCGUCAGAAAUGAUCAAAAAUGUCAUAAUAUACUAAUGCGUCAAAAAUGGUCAAAAAAUGUCACAGUAAAGUAAGGCAUCAAAAACCAUCAAAAAUGUCAUAGUAUACUAAGGUGUCAGCAAUCAUCAAGAAAUGUCACAGUAAGGUGUCAAAAAUGGUCCAAAAAUGUCACAGUAAAGUAAGGCAUCAGAAAUCAGCAAAAAAUGUCACAGUAAAGUAAGGUGUCAAAAAUGGUCAAAAACUGUCAUAGUAAAGUAAGGCGUCAGAAAUCAGCAAAAAAUUUCACAGUAAAGUGUCAAAAAUGGUCAAAAAAUGUCAUAGUAUAGUAAUGUGUCAAAACCCAUCAAAAAUGUCAUAGUAUACUAAGGCGUAAAUAAUUGUCAAAAAAUGUCACAGUAUAGCAAGGCAAGAAUGGUCAAAAAAUGUCAUAGCAUAGUACGGCAUGAAAAAUGGUUUAAAAAAAAAGGUCAUAGAAAGGUCAGAAAUCAAAAAAUGUCACGUAAAGUAAGGUGUCAAAAAUGGUCAAAAAAUGUCAGUAUAGAAAGGUGUCAAAAACCAUAAAAAAUGUCAUAGUAUACUAAGGCGUCAGAAAUAAUCAAAAACUGUCAUAGUAUUGUAAGGUGUCAAAACCCAUCAAAAAAUAUAGUAUAGCAAGGCAUCAAAAAAUUGUCAAAAAAUGUCACAGUAAAGUAAGGUGUCAGAAAUCAGCAAAAAAUUUCACAGUAAAGUAAGGUGUCAAAAAUGGUCAAAAAAUGUCAUGGUAUAGCAGGGCAUAAAAAAUGGUCAGAAAAUGUCAGUGUACUAAGGUGUCAGAAAUGAUCAAAAAAUGUCAUAGUAUAGAAAGGCGUCAAAAACCAUAAAAAAUGUCAUAGUAUACUAAGGCGUCAGAAAUCAUCAAAAAAUGUCACAGUAAAGUAAGGCAUCAGAAAUCAUCAAAAAAUUUCACAGUAAAGUUAAGGUGUCAAAAAUGGUCAAAAUAUGUCACAGUAUAGCAAGGAAUGAAUAAUGGUUAAAAAUUGUCAUAGUACAAUAAGGCGGUUAACUAAAGUAGUUAAAUGUUCUUUAAGAUGUUCUUUAGGAAGAAAUGUAUUAUUAAUUUGAUUUAGCAUAAUACUUGAGCUUUGUUGUUGUGUAUGUUUACAGUCAGGUUACUGAUUAAUCCUGGCUUGUUCACACUAGUUGCAUGCACUAGAUAACCUCUAGUUGCAUGCACUAGAUAACCUCUAGUGCAUGCAACUAGAGAACCUCCCUCUUUAACCUGCCACCUUCUUGCCUGCCUCCUUUGUUAACCUAAUCCAUAUGCCAUGAACUAUUUUAAAGUAGUCAUCUUACCUUUGUUUUCUACAGACAUGUAUAUUUUCACACCACCUUUUUGUGUUUAUCAUUUCAUUUUGGUAUUUUGCUGUUUCAAACUGUAAUAUCAGUACUCAAAUUCUCUCAAGUCUGUUAGUAUGUAAAUAGUCUUGUACAUACUGUUAUUAUGUUACUGUUACAUAUUGCUUUUGCUAUAUUGUCAUAUAUUAUCUUGUUUUACAUAUUGAUGUGUGUGAUGUGUGUUUAUAGCAUGCCUUUUUCUGU